GGGUGAUGAAAAUGCUCAAAGUUAGAUUACGGUGAUGGUUGCGCGCCUCUGUGAAUAUACUCAAAAGCCUUGAAAACAAAAGUUGAGGUGCUACAAACUAAAGGAUCUAAUCGCAGUCACAGAACAGUUGCCCAUGCUUAGUGGCAAGAGGCUGUAUCCUGAGGACUUUUGUGUUUCCAGAUUUCUCCAAAGGAGAAUUACAGUUUGGCAGGUGGAAUGAGGGUCAGGUAGAAAAGGCUGACGAUGCAACUAACUUUAAGGAGGGGGAGGACAAAGGGUGAAGACCAGGUCAGUGUGGAGAAAGGGAGGUUGUAGGAUGUUAGUGCUUCAGAGGAAAACAACAACGAGCUUUUCUCUCCUCUCUGGGGAUCCUGGUCAGCUUCACAUUGGUGGCCCAGAAAUCAGUCUCAGCCCCUCCCAGUAUGGACCGCUCCUUGACAGCCGCCCUCUCUCCUAUAAAGGCAGAUGCAAGCUACGUUUGUGUGGGGAUGACACAGCACAAAGGCCCUUGCCAGAUGUGAGCCCCUUGAUAUUGGAUUUCCCAGUCUUCAGAACUGUCGAAAAGCCCAGGAAUGUUCUAGAAUAUAUGAUUGGCGAGGACCCUCACUGGUGCCAUCCACAUCUUCUCUUCAGGACUGGGAACGUUGGCAGCUGAUGAUCCUCUGGGAAGUUCCUUGGUCGGAUCCCAGGGUGCUCACCAAUCCACCCCCGGCACUCAAAUCUCCAUCUCACAAGCUAUGUGACAGGGACCCUGACUACAACAAUGGACAAAACAUUUUGGCCAGGCGUGGUGGCUCAUGCCUGUAAAC
RNAcentral lists this long non-coding RNA (809 nucleotides) under Homo sapiens (human). Its description in RNAcentral is "HSALNT0347976". The record is from RNAcentral. Lineage: Eukaryota; Metazoa; Chordata; Mammalia; Primates; Hominidae.